This is a long non-coding RNA of Notolabrus celidotus (New Zealand spotty), 403 nucleotides long. RefSeq lists it as uncharacterized. The record is from RefSeq and is a predicted model, not a curated record. Lineage: Eukaryota; Metazoa; Chordata; Actinopteri; Labriformes; Labridae. The transcript is spliced from 2 exons.
UAAAACCAAUAUUUUCAUGGAUAAAGAAGCCUAACAAGGUAACCAAGAGAUGAGAUACAAAUUGGAUGAUAGUAAAUUGUUUUUAGUGUAUUUUACAGCUGAUUUAAGACACAGGUCGAAACCAACCCGUUAACACAAGAGAUGUUAACAGACAGCUAACACAAGAGGAAGGAGGAGGAAACCUUUAGACUGUCAGAGAGCAGUGCUCUGUCCUGGGACACUAUAAACCUUAGAACUGUAAAUAUUUCACUGUGCCGUCUGUUUCACUGACGAGGUCUGUGUGAUGUUGCUCUUGUUGCACUGGGUUUUGGUUGAGCGGGGUUAAAUGUGCUUAUUAUAUUGUAUGUCUCCAGAAAAUGGAAUAAAGUUAUUCAAUAUAUAUGCAAUAAAUACUAAUGAUACA